Molecule: unclassified non-coding RNA, 240 nt
Filed under: soil metagenome
Description: partial contains 5.8S ribosomal RNA, internal transcribed spacer 2, and large subunit ribosomal RNA
Source: RNAcentral
AACCUUAUGGACCUGCGGGCGUAUACCUGCGGAAGGAUCAUUACAUUAGGAACGCCGUGAGGAGUUGGUUUCCGUUACCCUUUCCAGGGCCUCAACUCCCUCUCCGGGACCGGGGGGCUUCUGGGACUGGUUCAACCCUUUGUGAACCGAAAAAGACCUUUCGCUUCGGCAGCUGGGCUUGGUGGCCUGUCAGCCUGCCGCUAGCACCAACCAACCUUUCAACCUGUUGCUGAACAUUGU